GGCAAGGUGGCCGAGCGGUCUAAGGCGCACGGUUCAGGUCCGUGUCAUGAAAAUGGCGUGGGUUCGAAUCCCACCCUUGUCA
Molecule: transfer RNA, 82 nt
Filed under: Aspergillus flavus NRRL3357
Lineage: Eukaryota; Fungi; Ascomycota; Eurotiomycetes; Eurotiales; Aspergillaceae
Also listed under: 2 other names
Description: tRNA-Leu (CAG) (tRNA-Leu-CAG-1 1 to 3)
Rfam family: tRNA
About the family: Transfer RNA (tRNA) molecules are approximately 80 nucleotides in length. Their secondary structure includes four short double-helical elements and three loops (D, anti-codon, and T loops).
Source: RNAcentral